GAUGAACGCUAGCGGCAGGCCUAAUACAUGCAAGUCGAGGGGCAGUCAAUCUUCGGGAUUGAGCGACCGGCGCACGGGUGCGUAACGCGUAUGCAACCUACCUUGUACAGGGGGAUAGCCCGUGGAAACAUGGAUUAAUACCCCAUAAUUUAUUUAAUCGCAUGGGUUAAAUGAUUAAAGUUCCGACGGUACAAGAUGGGCAUGCGUAUGAUUAGCUAGAUGGUGAGGUAACGGCUCACCAUGGCGACGAUCAUUAGCGGGUCUGAGAGGAUGAUCCGCCACACUGGUACUGAGAUACGGACCAG
Molecule: ribosomal RNA, 305 nt
Filed under: uncultured bacterium
Lineage: Bacteria
Description: bacterial SSU rRNA
Rfam family: Bacterial small subunit ribosomal RNA
Source: RNAcentral